CCCAUAGAUUGCCCUGAAGGGGGGAGCUUUAGUUCCUUUAGUUUCUUUAGUUCACGAGUCAUUAAAUUUCGUCUGAACACAUAGAGCUUUUGGCGCAGGAGUUAUGUCAUUUCGGAUCGACCCCGGGACCCGGCGAAACACAUAUCCGAACUGACGUGUGCUUCUGCUGCUCCAGCUCCAUUAGACACACACACA
Caenorhabditis elegans is the source of this 195-nucleotide non-coding RNA. NCBI's taxonomy places the organism in Eukaryota, Metazoa, Nematoda, Chromadorea, Rhabditida, Rhabditidae. The record is from Ensembl.